GUGCUUGCUUCGGCAGCACAUAUACUAAAAUUGGAAUGGUACAGAGAAGAUUAGCAUGACCCCUGUGCAAGGAUGACAUGCAAAUUCGUGAAGCAUUCCAUAUUUUU
Molecule: small nuclear RNA, 107 nt
Filed under: Phocoena sinus (vaquita)
Lineage: Eukaryota; Metazoa; Chordata; Mammalia; Artiodactyla; Phocoenidae
Also listed under: 1 other name
Source: RNAcentral